UGCUUCUUCUUUGGUUCUUCUCUUCUUAUGCUUUUCCUUAGUCUCUCCCGUCUUGGCGGACAAGAGAACUAUGGCUGGUCUAAACGACGUCGUGUUGUAUCCCAUUAGGCAUAUUGGGCCUCUAAUCCACAGCCCAUCCUAGCCCGCAUUUGCCAUUUUUCUCACAAGUCCUUUGGUUUUUUAGGCAACUUCUUGUUUUCAGCAAUUUUAUUGUUUGGCCGUGUUUGUCAGA
Molecule: long non-coding RNA, 232 nt
Organism: Arabidopsis thaliana (thale cress)
Lineage: Eukaryota; Viridiplantae; Streptophyta; Magnoliopsida; Brassicales; Brassicaceae
Product: other RNA
Exons: 1
Source: RefSeq